This 29-nucleotide transfer RNA is filed under the name Fagus crenata (Japanese beech). RNAcentral describes it as "partial trnF (GAA)". RNAcentral also lists the same sequence under 1 other name. The record is from RNAcentral. Lineage: Eukaryota; Viridiplantae; Streptophyta; Magnoliopsida; Fagales; Fagaceae.
GGUCGGGAUAGCUCAGCUGGUAGAGCAGA